CGAGGGGAGUGAAAAAGAACCUGAAACCGUGUACGUACAAGCAGUGGGAGCACAGAGCAAUCUGUGUGACUGCGUACCUUUUGUAUAAUGGGUCAGCGACUUAUAUUCUGUAGCAAGGUUAACCGAAUAGGGGAGCCGAAGGGAAACCGAGUCUUAACUGGGCGUUAAGUUGCAGGGUAUAGACCCGAAACCCGGUGAUCUAGCCAUGGGCAGGUUGAAGGUUGGGUAACACUAACUGGAGGACCGAACCGACUAAUGUUGAAAAAUUAGCGGAUGACUUGUGGCUGGGGGUGAAAGGCCAAUCAAACCGGGAGAUAGCUGGUUCUCCCCGAAAGCUAUUUAGGUAGCGCCUCGUGAAUUCAUCUCCGGGGGUAGAGCACUGUUUCGGCAAGGGGGUCAUCCCGACUUACCAACCCGAUGCAAACUGCGAAUACCGGAGAAUGUUAUCACGGGAGACACACGGCGGGUGCUAACGUCCGUCGUGAAGAGGGAAACAACCCAGACCGCCAGCUAAGGUCCCAAAGUCAUGGUUAAGUGGGAAACGAUGUGGGAAGGCCCAGACAGCCAGGAUGUUGGCUUAGAAGCAGCCAUCAUUUAAAGAAAGCGUAAUAGCUCACUGGUCGAGUCGGCCUGCGCGGAAGAUGUAACGGGG
Molecule: ribosomal RNA, 652 nt
Filed under: Escherichia coli
Lineage: Bacteria; Pseudomonadati; Pseudomonadota; Gammaproteobacteria; Enterobacterales; Enterobacteriaceae
Description: partial 23S ribosomal RNA
Rfam family: Bacterial large subunit ribosomal RNA
Source: RNAcentral